AUUGAACGCUGGCGGCAGGCCUAACACAUGCAAGUCGAACGGUAACAGGAAGCAGCUUGCUGCUUCGCUGACGAGUGGCGGACGGGUGAGUAAUGUCUGGGAAACUGCCUGAUGGAGGGGGAUAACUACUGGAAACGUUAGCUAAUACCGCAUAACGUCGCAAGACCAAAGAGGGGGACCUUAGGGCCUCUUGCCAUCGGAUGUGCCCAGAUGGGAUUAGCUAGUAGGUGGGGUAACGGCUCACCUAGGCGACGAUCCCUAGCUGGUCUGAGAGGAUGACCAGCCACACUGGAACUGAGACACGGUCCAGACUCCUACGGGAGGCAGCAGUGGGGAAUAUUGCACAAUGGGCGCAAGCCUGAUGCAGCCAUGCCGCGUGUAUGAAGAAGGCCUUCGGGUUGUAAAGUACUUUCAGCGGGGAGGAAGGGAGUAAAGUUAAUACCUUUGCUCAUUGACGUUACCCGCAGAAGAAGCACCGGCUAACUCCGUG
Molecule: ribosomal RNA, 490 nt
Filed under: uncultured bacterium
Lineage: Bacteria
Description: partial 16S ribosomal RNA
Rfam family: Bacterial small subunit ribosomal RNA
Source: RNAcentral